Sorex fumeus (smoky shrew) is the source of this 191-nucleotide small nuclear RNA. RefSeq annotates it as U2 spliceosomal RNA. Lineage: Eukaryota; Metazoa; Chordata; Mammalia; Eulipotyphla; Soricidae. The record is from RefSeq and is a predicted model, not a curated record. The transcript has a single exon.
UUCAUUUCUUGGUCUUUUGACUAAAAUCGAACGUACUAUCUUCCCUUAUCAUUUUACUAUCUGAUAUGUCUUCUAUAUGAAGGCAAUCUACUGAAAGGCUUUGUGGGAAUAGGAAAUGGAAUAUUGGCUUGCUUCAUCCAUUCCAUGCAGUGACUUGGUAUUGCAAUACCUUCAGGAAUGAUGUGCCCUGU